Molecule: ribosomal RNA, 498 nt
Filed under: uncultured bacterium
Lineage: Bacteria
Description: bacterial SSU rRNA
Rfam family: Bacterial small subunit ribosomal RNA
Source: RNAcentral
GAUGAACGCUAGCGGCAGGCUUAAUACAUGCAAGUCGAGGGGCAGCGCGGGUAGCAAUACCUGGCGGCGACCGGCAAACGGGUGCGGAACACGUACGCAACCUUCCCAAAACUGGGGAAUAGCCCUCCGAAAGGAGGAUUAAUACCCCGUAACAUAACGAAGUGGCAUCACUUUGUUAUUAUAGUUCCGACGGUUUUGGAUGGGCGUGCGCCUGAUUAGGUAGUUGGCGGGGUAACGGCCCACCAAGCCUACGAUCAGUAACUGGUGUGAGAGCACGACCAGUCACACGGGCACUGAGACACGGGCCCGACUCCUACGGGAGGCAGCAGUAAGGAAUAUUGGUCAAUGGACGCAAGUCUGAACCAGCCAUGCCGCGUGAAGGAUGAAGGUCCUCUGGAUUGUAAACUUCUUUAUAUGGGACGAAAAAAGGGCAUUCUUGCUCACUUGACGGUACCAUAGGAAUAAGCACCGGCUAAACUCCGUGCCAGCAGCCGCGGU